This 279-nucleotide ribosomal RNA is filed under the name uncultured bacterium. Its description in RNAcentral is "partial 16S ribosomal RNA". It matches the Rfam family "Bacterial small subunit ribosomal RNA", at positions 506 to 784 of the family's 1533-position model. The record is from RNAcentral.
UGCCAGCAGCCGCGGUAAUACGAAGGGGGCUAGCGUUGUUCGGAAUCACUGGGCGUAAAGCGCACGUAGGCGGAUUUGUAAGUGAGGGGUGAAAUCCCAGGGCUCAACCCUGGAACUGCCUUUCAUACUGGCAAUCUAGAGAUCGAGAGAGGUGAGUGGAAUUCCGAGUGUAGAGGUGAAAUUCGUAGAUAUUCGGAGGAACACCAGUGGCGAAGGCGGCUAACUGGACCGGAACUGACGCUGAGGCACGAAAGCGUGGGGAGCAAACAGGAUUAGAUA